AAAACAAAAUAACCGAAUAGAUA
This 23-nucleotide small nuclear RNA is filed under the name Arabidopsis thaliana (thale cress). RNAcentral describes it as "snRNA_10773". Lineage: Eukaryota; Viridiplantae; Streptophyta; Magnoliopsida; Brassicales; Brassicaceae. The record is from RNAcentral.